This 67-nucleotide transfer RNA is filed under the name Urocitellus parryii (Arctic ground squirrel). RNAcentral describes it as "Spermophilus parryii (Arctic ground squirrel) tRNA". It matches the Rfam family "tRNA". From Rfam's summary of the family: Transfer RNA (tRNA) molecules are approximately 80 nucleotides in length. Their secondary structure includes four short double-helical elements and three loops (D, anti-codon, and T loops). RNAcentral also lists the same sequence under 2 other names. Lineage: Eukaryota; Metazoa; Chordata; Mammalia; Rodentia; Sciuridae. The record is from Rfam by way of RNAcentral.
GGUUGUGGCUCUGUGGUAGAGUGCUUGCUUCAAACGCAAGAGGCCCUGGAUUCGAUCCUCAGUACCA